This 276-nucleotide ribosomal RNA is filed under the name uncultured bacterium. Its description in RNAcentral is "partial 16S ribosomal RNA". It matches the Rfam family "Bacterial small subunit ribosomal RNA", at positions 524 to 794 of the family's 1533-position model. The record is from RNAcentral.
UACGGAGGAUCCGAGCGUUAUCCGGAUUUAUUGGGUUUAAAGGGUGCGUAGGUGGUUUAGUUAAGUCUAGCGGUGAAAGUUUAGUCGAGCUUAACUGUAAAAUAGCCGUUGAAACUGUCGGACUUGAGUGUAAAUGAGGUAGGCGGAAUGCGUGGUGUAGCGGUGAAAUGCAUAGAUAUCACGCAGAACUCCGAUUGCGAAGGCAGCUUACUAAGCUACAACUGACACUGAAGCACGAAAGCGUGGGGAUCAAACAGGAUUAGAUACCCCGGUAGU